GCAUUGUGGGAAGGGGAUCGCAGCUCAGAAAGCGUUUGAUGGACACCGGGACAUAUUUCUUCCUGUUUUUUCCCUGUUGUUUGUCCGUAUUUUUCUAAACUGCCGUGCGCGGGAAGUGACGUGACGUCCCAAUCACCCACUCACUCCUUCUGCACCUGCGUGAGUCUGACUGGAUUAACGGUAAACGUCAGCUUUUCAGUGAGAGUGUAAAAGGUUCUUUCAUUUUGGUUAUAAGUACAUGUUAUAGGUAAAUUCUUAGAUUCAAUCCAAACUGAAUUUGAAUUAACACAGACAAAUGAAAUAAAAUACACCUGGGAUUUUAAAUGUUUUAAUUUUUUUUAUUAUUCACAACGUUUGUGAAGUCUAAAUGUAGACUGUCUCAAAUUGAAUGAGUGUUAUUUUUGUUGUAGGUGUGUUGGUGUAAAAAUUGAUGCUGACUGGUUAGUACUGCAUUUUUACCCAUAACAAUAAUGAUUUAUAUUUAGCAUAGCAUCUAUUGUCAUUUUACCAAGAAUGUGUUUGCUCUUUCAGAACUAAGGCAGUUGUGCUGGACCUUCUGUACUUUAUACAGGAGAUGACAGUAAACUUUCAAGUUUAAGAGGUAAAAUGUUCAGGGUUUUUCUGUUUGAUUUUGAGUGUUUUGUAGAUAUAAGGUUCACUGAUAUAUGAUAUAAGAUUUGCUUUAUGUUUAUGUUGUCAUUUUGGUUAUAAGUACAAGGUACAGUUACAUUUACAUAGCAAUCUAAAUUAAAAUCUUAAAUCUUACAUUCAAUCCAAACUGAAUUUGAAUUAACAUGGACAAAUUAAAUAAAAUACACCUGGGAUUUUAAAUGUUUUCAUUUUUUUGUUAUUUACAAAGUUUAAAGUUUAAAAGUAGACUACGUGCUGCAUCUUUCAAA
This is a non-coding RNA of Danio rerio (zebrafish), 899 nucleotides long. NCBI's taxonomy places the organism in Eukaryota, Metazoa, Chordata, Actinopteri, Cypriniformes, Danionidae. The record is from Ensembl.